CACAUAUUGUAUAUAACACACGUACAGUGGGGUUAUGGGUUCCGAGCCACGGUGGUUGUGGUCUAUAGACACCGAUCUGUGGCAAAUGGGCUUGGUCAUGUAAUGGGUCAUAAAAAGAAACAAACCCGAUGAGCCGAAGCCAUAAUGUCCAAGUCACAUUUCAUAUUCAUUUAUUUUAAUUAAGUGUAAUUUUAUAUUUA
This is a long non-coding RNA of Helianthus annuus (common sunflower), 200 nucleotides long. RefSeq lists it as uncharacterized. The record is from RefSeq and is a predicted model, not a curated record. The transcript is spliced from 2 exons. NCBI's taxonomy places the organism in Eukaryota, Viridiplantae, Streptophyta, Magnoliopsida, Asterales, Asteraceae.